This 950-nucleotide long non-coding RNA is filed under the name Malus domestica (apple). Its description in RNAcentral is "long non-coding RNA (MDOM_LNC009650)". Lineage: Eukaryota; Viridiplantae; Streptophyta; Magnoliopsida; Rosales; Rosaceae. The record is from RNAcentral.
AACUGUAAGAAGAAAAACAAUGUUCGUAUAAUGGCAAAGUUUUUCGACCGUAUGUAUACAAGAACUAAGCAAGUUAAAAAACCCAACUCAUGCUACUGACUCUCUCUGUCCCUAAAACCCCUGACCCCUCCACGAAAAACCCUAGAUCUAGCAUCGUCCUCGCCACCGACCCCUUGUUCCAUCUUGGGGUCGGUGCAGCCCCUCCUUCUUCUUUCCCUGCACCCCCUUGGCCUAUCCUUCUGUAUUUUCAUAUACCAGCGCCUCCCCUUCUCCACCAAAUUUGGGGGUACCCAACCUUUGGCUUGGAUGGCGUUUUUGCUCCUUUUCGAGGUAUUAUCACCUUAAUUCGGAGCUAGGCACAGGUUCUCCUUUGCCUUGGCGUGUUGGGUUGUUGGUGGACCGGAUCCACCCUUCUAGUUUGUUUCCAUGGUGGUUCCCACGGCUGAGCCGUCGUACUUGGUCCGAUCUGUGGCGAUAACGUCGUUUUGGUCAGAUUUGCGGCUAACCCUCCUUGUUUGACCUGUAGUUACCGCGCGUCUGCCUUUAUUGUGACAAAUUUAUAUCAGUAGUUCUCAGUGGUUUUUGUUUUUAUGGUGGUCAUCUAGGGGUUCUACUCUUUUUAUGUCUGUGUAAAUUAUCUCCAGAUCAAACUAUCGAUCACUAGAGAAUUUACCUAUUUGAUACCUCUUAAUUGUAUUUGUUGAUCAAUGAAAUCUUAUACCUCUUAAUUGUAUUUGUUGAUCAAUGAAAUCUUACUAUCGUUUCUUCUUUUUUUUUUCUUUUAAAAAAAAAAAAAAAAAAAGCACUAGGGAAGUUUAAGAUUUUUGUACAUAUGAGGGAUUGCUUGCUAAAACCGGUUUUUUGAACCAAUAAUUCAAUACAUUAUUGUUGACGUGUAUAUGUGGGUAGCUAGAUUUACAUUGGGAGACAUAACAUCCAAGAUGUCUAAC